This 73-nucleotide transfer RNA is filed under the name Pseudomonadota bacterium. RNAcentral's name for it is "tRNA-Arg". It matches the Rfam family "tRNA". Rfam says of the family: Transfer RNA (tRNA) molecules are approximately 80 nucleotides in length. Their secondary structure includes four short double-helical elements and three loops (D, anti-codon, and T loops). Further hydrogen bonds mediate the characteristic L-shaped molecular structure. tRNAs have two regions of fundamental functional importance: the anti-codon, which is responsible for specific mRNA codon recognition, and the 3' end, to which the tRNAs corresponding amino acid is attached (by aminoacyl-tRNA synthetases). tRNAs cope with the degeneracy of the genetic code in two manners: having more than one tRNA (with a specific anti-codon) for a particular amino acid; and 'wobble' base-pairing, i.e. permitting non-standard base-pairing at the 3rd anti-codon position. The record is from RNAcentral. Lineage: Bacteria; Pseudomonadati; Pseudomonadota. RNAcentral also lists the same sequence under 2 other names.
GCCCCCAUAGCUCAGCGGAUAGAGCGCCUGACUUCGGAUCAGGAGGUCGCGGGUUCGAAUCCUGCUGGGGGUG